UACGUAGGCAGCAAGCGUUGUUCGGAAUUACUGGGCGUAAAGAGUGUGUAGGCGGUGUUCUAAGUCUGGUGUGAAAUCUCCCGGCUCAACUGGGAGGGUGCGCUAGAAACUGGAAUGCUAGAGGAUGGGAGAGGUAAGCGGAAUUCCUGGUGUAGCGGUGAAAUGCGUAGAUAUCGAGAGGAACACCUGCGGCGAAGGCGGGUUGCUGGGCUGACACUGACGCUGACAGCGCGAAAGCUAGGGGAGCGAACGGG
RNAcentral lists this ribosomal RNA (254 nucleotides) under uncultured bacterium. RNAcentral describes it as "partial 16S ribosomal RNA". It matches the Rfam family "Bacterial small subunit ribosomal RNA", at positions 524 to 776 of the family's 1533-position model. The record is from RNAcentral.